UCUCCGUUGGUGAACCUGCGGAGGGAUCACUAUUGUAUAAUCCUGCUCCGAAACCUCUCGCUACCCCUAACUGUCGUGCAGCCCCGACUGCCUUAACACACAUCCAUCUCACCCCUAUGUGCACAACCGCGCGGCUCCCCCGGUGCCCUGUCCGGUGGAGGUCUUACGUUUUCAGACUAACUUUGUAUGCAGAGAAGUAUAUAUAAUUUGUCUUUGAGGUCACUCUAUCAACACGACUUUCAACAAAGGAUCGCUUGUCGCUCGCAUCGAUGACUAACC
RNAcentral lists this unclassified non-coding RNA (279 nucleotides) under plant metagenome. Its description in RNAcentral is "partial contains small subunit ribosomal RNA, internal transcribed spacer 1, and 5.8S ribosomal RNA". The record is from RNAcentral.